Molecule: long non-coding RNA, 421 nt
Organism: Chrysemys picta bellii (western painted turtle)
Lineage: Eukaryota; Metazoa; Chordata; Testudines; Emydidae
Source: RefSeq, a predicted model, not a curated record
GACUGCCAGUAGAAGGAGUUGUCUAGCAUUUUUUUUAAUACACAUGUUGUCUCCUGCAUUAAUUUUGAUUACAGCUGGCUCCCAAUUUAGUGUUCUUCUGACAUAUAAGUAUGGAGGGAUUGUCUCUGUCUUUCCUCCCCAGUCUCCCCAGAAGCAGUAUUGAUAAAUUUAGACCUGUUCUUGGAACCUUUUUAAGGCAGUCUGAAGGGACCCGUUUGCCACAGUAUGAAUCUCUGGGCUCUAUGAAGGAAACACCCAAGUCAUCUUCAUCGGAGACAUGUGAUGAGGAUUCUUGACAAUUUCACAUUCUGCCUGAUCACAGGAAGUAAAAGGGCCUAUGCUUUUGUAGACAUUUUUCUAAUAUUCUAAAUUAUAGUGUUUUCUACUUUAUAAUAAAGCAAACAAUCUGCAAUUACUAAUA